AGAAAGGUAAGCUAACAAAGCUUUUGGGCCCAUACCCCAAGAAUGUUGGUUAAACUCCAACCCUUCCUA
Xyrichtys novacula (pearly razorfish) is the source of this 69-nucleotide non-coding RNA. NCBI's taxonomy places the organism in Eukaryota, Metazoa, Chordata, Actinopteri, Labriformes, Labridae. The record is from the annotation of a GenBank genome assembly.